RNAcentral lists this ribosomal RNA (301 nucleotides) under uncultured bacterium. RNAcentral describes it as "partial 16S ribosomal RNA". It matches the Rfam family "Bacterial small subunit ribosomal RNA", at positions 509 to 809 of the family's 1533-position model. The record is from RNAcentral.
CAGUCGCCGCGGUAACACGAAGGGGGCUAGCGUUGUUCGGAUUUACCGGGCGUAAAGCGCACGUAGGCGGACUUUUAAGUCAGGGGUGAAAUCCCGGGGCUCAACCCCGGAACUGCCUUUGAUACUGGAAGUCUUGAGUAUGGUAGAGGUGAGUGGAAUUCCGAGUGUAGAGGUGAAAUUUGUAGAUAUUCGGAGGAACACCAGUGGCGAAGGCGGCUCACUGGACCAUUACUGACGCUGAGGUGCGAAAGCGUGGGGAGCAAACAGGAUUAGAUACCCCGGUAGUCCUGUCUCUUAUACA